Molecule: transfer RNA, 3613 nt
Filed under: Daphnia magna
Lineage: Eukaryota; Metazoa; Arthropoda; Branchiopoda; Diplostraca; Daphniidae
Description: uncharacterized LOC123471617
Rfam family: tRNA (bases 1143-1215)
Source: RNAcentral
CUGGGCAAGAUUCACCGUGACCGGCCUUCUUUAAUACACCGGGCCUAGCAUCGCUUCUUGAAACAAUGCAAAACGUGGAUAGGCCACCUAUAAGCGCAAUACCAGCUACCAGGCCUUAGGUUUCAGUUACAGAAUACGGCAUUCAGCCAAGUUGGUCUUGCGGCAGUCCGUAAGUAUGUGAUGAUCAGCUGGAAUUUGGAGCAUGACAGCGCAUGUACUGCUGUAGUGCCAGAGCUUUAUUCAGUAUUAGCAAAUAUAAAUUUUAUCAAUACGGUUUACAUUUAUUAAGUUAAAAUCUUCACUACUAUGUUGCUUAGGUGAUUUCCAAUAUAGUUCAUUUUUUAGAAUUACCCUCCACCUGGUGAAUUUUUUGUUUUUUCAAUGAAAGUCUUGGGACGAGAGCUAAGCGUCAACUACUUAUUUUCUGCGCUAAAUUAGCGGUAUAUAAGGCUUCGCAUUCAAGUUUAGGUUGUGGAACAGUGUGCUCUUGUAGUUUGGAAGACGUGGGCAUUCGAUGAUGAGCGUCACUGUUCCCGCAAAGCUGAAAGACAAAGCUUAAACCGUGUUCUAGAGGAGAACGUUGUCAGGACAUCAGGUUGUGUAUGCCACGUCCACACGAAGUCGAGGGGUUGCAAGAAUAGCAGAGGCUCCCGGGCAUGCAGGUCGCGGAGGAGAUGGCCAAUUCGCGGUGUGAUACAUGAUCGUGGCUGUUGCGUGCUUUCGAGUGAUAUUGCGGAUGUCCAGAGGCCGAAGGGACGGUUCAUCAAUGGUGAAGUACUUCCAAUUUCAUCAUGUGCUUGGUCCGUAGAAGCAUAGAUCUAGCGUAACAGGUUGUCGGAAGAUGACACCUUUCCUUGGGUGAAUACGGAUAUAAUAAUUUUUCAUUCUCGUAAACUUACAAAAAAAAAUCAUUUUUUUAAAUUUUUGUUUUGUUUUUUGUCCUUUAUAGGAUUGACAGUAUUUUUCUUGUGCUGAUUCUAAACGUAAAAGUUUGAUAUAUUUGUAGCUCUUUAUAGGCUGCAACGAGCGUCUCAGUAGAUAAAAGUAGCCUAUUUACCACGACUUUAUCAAGCUUCCUAGUCACCCUCGUUACAUUGAGUUAAAGCUGAAAUUUGAGUUAAAGCUGAAAUUAGAGUUAAAUAGCCCUUGUGGCCUAAUGAAUAAGGCACCGGCCUCCUAAGCCGGGGAUUGCGAGUUCGAGUCUCGCCAGAGGUAUAACGAAAUGUAUAUAUAUUCAUAGCAAUGUGAUUCCACUCGGAUUACCACAGAUUUGAGCAAAUAUUCCGUUUUUCAGCAGAAAAUUGUUUUCGGGAAAUUAUCAUUUUGUUUAAUGGAGUUUUUUAGUUUUUUCUUAAGUUACUUCUAAAUAAAAAUAUUUAACGAACGUAUUUUAGCAACUAUGAAAGAGCUUUCCGUUGUUUAGAUGGCCGUUUAGCUACAGAUUUAGGUUCUUGAACUGAUGCUUUCUGUCCCUUUACAGGUUUCCCUUUAGGCGGUGAGGUAGGUGGCAUGGAAUUCCGGGAAGCACCAUGGCUCUCAUGCAGGAGUUCUUCUACGAAACUCAGUGGAUCGAAUUCUUCCGAAAAUGACUCCUGAGCAACCGAAGUCAUUUUCUUUGCACUCUUCUUUUUCGCUGUUGCUGAGGUCUUCAUGGUAGCUUCCGGAUUAGGUACCUAAGAAUUCAUCAUGAAUCAAAAUAGCCAAGAACACACAUUGUAAUCGACUUACAUCAAUGUCGCCGUUUUCCGACGAUUUUGUUUUGCUUCUGUUUUCCUUCGAUUUGUUUACCUUGAUGUUCUUCUUUGGCGAUGAUUUCUUGUCCAUCGCGGAUGACUCGCCAAGAGGCUUUGACCCAGCUUUGAAUUUUGAACGUUUCGUAGAGGUUAUAUCUUUCGAUUUACCCUCCGUGCUGUCAUCGCCAGAAUAUUUCAACAUAAUUUCUUCGACGGAAAGUGCGACAUCUAUUGGCUCUUCGGAAAUUUUUGCUUUUUUUGACGGGCGUGAAUCCGUAGACAAUUUGCGUCGAGUUACUUUCGCCUUUGGCUUUUCUGUACCAGGCGUUGCCAUAGAAGUGAAACUUCUAGAUUCAGCAAGGAUUUUUUCGAUAAGUGCAUCAGCAGAUACAGAAUCUGAGGAAUUCAAUUCGUUUGAAGUGGGUAGCUCUUUUUUUCCGUUAGAAAUGGUUUUUGUCGAUUUCUUUGUUUUUGAUUUUUUGCCGGUAGAUUGUGUUUUCUUUGCAGGAAAAUUUUCAGAGGAACACUUUGCCGUUGUAUUUUCUUCGAGAGAAACAGUAUCAGCAACCUUGCUUUUGACUGGUGCUUUCUUACGCGGUAGGGCUUUUGAAGCUGAAACGCGUGAUUCGUUGUCAGAUUCCGAUAUAAAAUUGGGAUCUCUUACUCGAGUGUGACAUUUCCUCGCUGUCGAUUCGAUACGAGAUUUUUUCGGCUUUGGCUUAGAAGGUUCCUGUGCAGAAGGUAAGAGCACUUCCGUAGUUUCAACAUCAGCAACACGGUUCGUCUCACUCACAGAUAUUUCCUGGAGAGCAGAAACUGAAUCCACUUUUUUGGCAUUACCAAUUUGUCGUUUCCUUUUUGCGAACAGUAUUAACAGUUUCUGGCAUUGCUUCAACUUCUGGAUUUGUAAUGUCAGAAUGGGUACGUGACGCUUUGCUAUGUGUGACGGGUCCUGGCGUAGGCAAACGCUUCGAACUAGAAGUUGAAGGCAAAAAACAUCUUGUAAUGUCCGCGAUUCUUCUUGCGCACUUUCCUCCAAAACCUUCCAUCCGCCUAAAAUGGAAGAUUUGCGGUUACUACUUUGCGUGGUAUCCCUUUUACCAUUUUUCGACGAAGAGCUAUCCGACAAAGACUUUUCUCUGGUUUUAGUCAAAAAUUUUUUUUUGGCUGUAGUCUUCCCAAUUGCGAAGAAUUGGAAUCGUUAGUGCUCUUUGCCUUGUGUACUAGUUUAGACGUAGAACCAGCUAUUGGCAGUGGAGCUGAAAAAUGCGGAUUGGGUGGUUUUCGUUGAUGAACAGCUGAGUCGAUUUUUUCUUCUUAAAAGUACCAAAAUGCGAAAUAAAUUAAAACUGUUAGAAAAAAAUCGAUUGAGAAUCUAAAUAAAUAAGGGAUUACCUUCGCCUUCACUGCACGAAGCGAACAUGUCAGGACUUGAAGCCCCGAAAUCCCGAGAAAAGCCUGCCAAACACAUGCGGCAUUACAUUACGCAUCAACGAAAAAAAAAACUAGAAGUAAUUACUUCUGUUUAGAUUAGAACCGAAAGACAGCUCUGGACGGUCGGUGUUUUCUUCCAAUACACACGCGUAGCUGCUUAGCUGAAUACCAGAUGUUGCGCUGUAAUUCUGGCUAGUUCUUUUGACUAAUGUUUCUUGAGGGAUUUCGAUUUCUUCUUCGACCACAUACUCCUCUUCUUCUUGUUCCAUACUGCUGGGCUUCAUGGCAGUAUUAGCGCAAUACAUGUCAACAUCGAGCUUUUUUAUAACUCGAUUGAUAUUCUCGGCAAUGUCAUCUGUUGAGCUAUUGCUACGAACGCUGAAACCUGUGACAGAAUCAUGUUAAACACAAAAAUAUAUGUCAUACACAAUUAAAUUCAAUACUUA